UAGGGAAUCUUCGGCAAUGGGGGGAACCCUGACCGAGCAACGCCGCGUGAGUGAAGAAGGUUUUCGGAUCGUAAAGCUCUGUUGUUAAGGAAGAACGAGUGUGAGAAUGGAAAGUUCAUGCUGUGACGGUACUUAACCAGAAAGGGACGGCUAACUACGUGCCAGCAGCCGCGGUAAUACGUAGGUCCCGAGCGUUGUCCGGAUUUAUUGGGCGUAAAGCGAGCGCAGGCGGUCAAUUAAGUCUGAUGUGAAAGCCCCCGGCUCAACCGGGGAGGGUCAUUGGAAACUGGUUGACUUGAGUGCAGAAGAGGAGGGUGGAAUUCCAUGUGUAGCGGUGAAAUGCGUAGAUAUAUGGAGGAACACCAGUGGCGAAGGCGACUCUCUGGUCUGUAACUGACGCUGAGGCUCGAAAGCGUGGGUAGCAAACAGG
This 430-nucleotide ribosomal RNA is filed under the name Bacteroidota bacterium. RNAcentral's name for it is "Bacteroidetes bacterium partial 16S ribosomal RNA". It matches the Rfam family "Bacterial small subunit ribosomal RNA", at positions 355 to 776 of the family's 1533-position model. Lineage: Bacteria; Pseudomonadati; Bacteroidota. The record is from RNAcentral.